RNAcentral lists this ribosomal RNA (432 nucleotides) under uncultured bacterium. RNAcentral's name for it is "partial 16S ribosomal RNA". It matches the Rfam family "Bacterial small subunit ribosomal RNA", at positions 29 to 507 of the family's 1533-position model. The record is from RNAcentral.
AACGAACGCUGGCGGCAUGCCUAACACAUGCAAGUCGAACGAUGCUUUCGGGCAUAGUGGCGCACGGGUGCGUAACGCGUGGGAAUCUGCCCUGGGGUUCGGGAUAACAGCGGGAAACUGCUGCUAAUACCGGAUGAUAUCGCGAGAUCAAAGAUUUAUCGCCCUGGGAUGAGCCCGCGUCGGAUUAGGUAGUUGGUGGGGUAAGACCUAGCAAGCCGACGAUCCGUAGCUGGUCUGAGAGGAUGAUCAGACACACUGGGACUGAGACACGGCCCAGACUCCUACGGGAGGCAGCAGUGGGGAAUAUUGGACAAUGGGCGGAAGCCUGAUCCAGCAAUGCCGCGUGAGUGAUGAAGGCCUUAGGGUUGUAAAGCUCUUUUACCCGGGAUGAUAAUGACAGUACCGGGAGAAUAAGCCCCGGCUAACUCCGUG